RNAcentral lists this transfer RNA (76 nucleotides) under Actinomycetota bacterium. RNAcentral's name for it is "tRNA-Arg". It matches the Rfam family "tRNA". From Rfam's summary of the family: Transfer RNA (tRNA) molecules are approximately 80 nucleotides in length. Their secondary structure includes four short double-helical elements and three loops (D, anti-codon, and T loops). Lineage: Bacteria; Bacillati; Actinomycetota. The record is from RNAcentral.
GCGCUUGUAGCUCAGGGGAUAGAGCAGUGGCCUCCGGAGCCACGUGUCGGGGGUUCGAAUCCCUCCAAGCGCGCCA